RNAcentral lists this ribosomal RNA (526 nucleotides) under uncultured Actinomycetes bacterium. RNAcentral describes it as "bacterial SSU rRNA". It matches the Rfam family "Bacterial small subunit ribosomal RNA", at positions 831 to 1360 of the family's 1533-position model. Lineage: Bacteria; Bacillati; Actinomycetota; Actinomycetes. The record is from RNAcentral.
UCCACGGUUUGUGCGACGCAGCUAACGCAUUAAGCGCCCCGCCUGGGGAGUACGAUCGCAAGAUUAAAACUCAAAGGAAUUGACGGGGCCCCGCACAAGCAGCGGAGCAUGCGGCUUAAUUCGACGCAACGCGAAGAACCUUACCAAGGCUUGACAUAUACAGGAAUACGGCAGAGAUGUCGUAGCCGCAAGGUCUGUAUACAGGUGGUGCAUGGUUGUCGUCAGCUCGUGUCGUGAGAUGUUGGGUUAAGUCCCGCAACGAGCGCAACCCUCGUUCUGUGUUGCCAGCAUUUAGUUGGGGACUCACAGGAGACUGCCGGGGUUAACUCGGAGGAAGGUGGGGAUGACGUCAAAUCAUCAUGCCCCUUAUGUCUUGGGCUGCACGCAUGCUACAAUGGCUGGUACAAACGGCUGCAAUACCGCAAGGUGGAGCGAAUCCGAGAAAGCCAGUCUCAGUUCGGAUUGGGGUCUGCAACUCGACCCCAUGAAGUCGGAGUUGCUAGUAAUCGUAGAUCAGCAACGCUAC